AUGUCUUUCUUUCGAAAAAGAAAAUAGGGACACAAAUCUGAAUUUUGAGCAAAUAUACAAAAUUUCGACCUCAUUUUACUCAAAAAGUAGCACAUGAAGGUAUAUUUUUUAUUACAUAUUUGAUUUAAUCAGAUAAAAAAUAGCCUAUAUGCAAAUUUUCAUCAACUUGAAAUGUUCAAAAACUGUAUCGUAUGCCCUUAAGUGCACCCGCUUUUUUAGAGGAUCAGUUAGAAGUUUGCCAUUUUGUUUAGUUUCAGUAAUACCACCAUAGUCAGUUGUUGUUUGUUUUUAACAUA
Molecule: long non-coding RNA, 296 nt
Filed under: Mytilus galloprovincialis (Mediterranean mussel)
Lineage: Eukaryota; Metazoa; Mollusca; Bivalvia; Mytilida; Mytilidae
Source: RNAcentral